This 71-nucleotide transfer RNA is filed under the name Aedes aegypti (yellow fever mosquito). RNAcentral's name for it is "partial tRNA-OTHER". The record is from RNAcentral. Lineage: Eukaryota; Metazoa; Arthropoda; Insecta; Diptera; Culicidae.
UGUUACUUGGGUAGUGGUUAGGAUAUCCGGCUCUCACCCGGAAGGCCCGGGUUCGAUUCCCGGUAUGGGAA